AGGACGAACGCUGGCGGCGUGCUUAACACAUGCAAGUGGAGCGACGAACCAGGGCUUGCCCUGGGGCAGAGCCGCGAACGGGUGAGUAACACGUGGGUUACCUGCCUUGAUGACCGGGACAACCCGAGGAAACUCGGGCUAAUACCGGAUGUGCCCGCAAGGGGAAAGGAAGCUUCGGCCUCCGCAUCAAGAUGGGCCCGCGGCCCAUUAGCUUGUUGGUGAGGUAACGGCUCACCAAGGCUUCGAUGGGUAGCUGGUCUGAGAGGACGAUCAGCCACACUGGGACUGAGACACGGCCCAGACUCCUACGGGGGGCAGCAGUGAGGAAUUUUCGUCAAUGGGGGCAACCCUGAACGAGCAACGCCGCGUGCAGGAAGACACUUUUCGGAGCGUAAACUGCUUUUCUCGGGGACGAGUAAGGACGGUACCCGAGGAAUCAGCCCCGGCUAACUACGUGCCAGCAGCCGC
RNAcentral lists this ribosomal RNA (468 nucleotides) under uncultured bacterium. RNAcentral describes it as "SSU rRNA". It matches the Rfam family "Bacterial small subunit ribosomal RNA", at positions 26 to 518 of the family's 1533-position model. The record is from RNAcentral.